AUUGAACGCUGGCGGCAUGCUUUACACAUGCAAGUCGAACGGUAACAGGCCGCAAGGUGCUGACGAGUGGCGCACGGGUGAGUAAUGCAUCGGAACGUGCCCAGUCGUGGGGGAUAACUACUCGAAAGAGUAGCUAAUACCGCAUACGAUCUAUGGAUGAAAGCGGGGGACCGUAAGGCCUCGCGCGAUUGGAGCGGCCGAUGUCAGAUUAGGUAGUUGGUGGGGUAAGGGCUCACCAAGCCAACGAUCUGUAGCUGGUCUGAGAGGACGACCAGCCACACUGGGACUGAGACACGGCCCAGACUCCUACGGGAGGCAGCAGUGGGGAAUUUUGGACAAUGGGCGCAAGCCUGAUCCAGCAAUGCCGCGUGCAGGAAGAAGGCCUUCGGGUUGUAAACUGCUUUUGUACGGAACGAAACGGCUCUGGUUAAUACCCGGGGCUAAUGACGGUACCGUAAGAAUAAGCACCGGCUAACUACGUG
This 482-nucleotide ribosomal RNA is filed under the name uncultured bacterium. Its description in RNAcentral is "partial 16S ribosomal RNA". It matches the Rfam family "Bacterial small subunit ribosomal RNA", at positions 30 to 507 of the family's 1533-position model. The record is from RNAcentral.